CUGAAUUUGUAAUGAAGCUUCUCCAGUAUGUUGCUCUUUUCCAGGGAAACAAGUGAGGCAAGAACUUGUGACGAUGCAAUGAAUCAUCAUCAUCAUUCAACAACUGAGCACUCCGUUGAGUCCAGACCAAANNNNNUUAAAGGUUUAUGUGUCUUGGUCACAGCUUUUCGAGAUCGUCUCUUACUCGAGCUUCUGCUGGAGGUAAUGUUAUGAGGAGCUUGCCCCUCAGGAUUUACACUUUCU
This 243-nucleotide unclassified non-coding RNA is filed under the name Hevea brasiliensis (rubber tree). Lineage: Eukaryota; Viridiplantae; Streptophyta; Magnoliopsida; Malpighiales; Euphorbiaceae. The record is from RNAcentral.